Molecule: unclassified non-coding RNA, 833 nt
Filed under: Hevea brasiliensis (rubber tree)
Lineage: Eukaryota; Viridiplantae; Streptophyta; Magnoliopsida; Malpighiales; Euphorbiaceae
Source: RNAcentral
AAAGAAAAGAGAAGUAAAAUAACACUUCCAUGUGAUUGCAGCAGACAGUUACAGUUGCAUAACUAUAAAUAACGGCCGGUACCAUUAUGUAAUGGUCAUAAUGGCUGUUACACCUGCAACUUCAUAUUUGCCUGUAAAUAAUGUUAUAUAGCGUGAUGGGCCCUUCCAAAACUUAUAAAUAAUGGUCGUUAUGUUACGUAACGGCUGUUAUUUGAAACCACGCUUUAGAGCCUCUCGCCUGUGUUGCUGGGGUGCUCGCCUCCUCGAAGCUAAGGCAGGCGGAGGCGCUAGAGGGCCUCGGCUCGCCUGGUGCCUUGGCUCGCCAUCUCUCUUGCCUUUAACAACACUGCCUCACGGUAUUCACUGUCUACCUACCUUGUACUAGUGUACUCUCAAGUCUCAACUCCGUGGCCAACCAAGCUAUAAAACUUUCGGUCAAUGCAUUACAUGUUGACAGUUAAACUAGGAGGCAGUGGCAACUGGUUUCAACAGCAUGUGUUCAUGAUGGUGAGAAAUAGCAGUGAUCAAUAGUGGUGUUGGAGCUUGAUAUGGGUAAUGAAUUAAUAAUGUCUUUGCCUGGUGUCUAACUGAUUGCAGUUUCUGACUUCUGAAUAUGGUGCUUUUGAUGAUAAAUUGUUGUUGUGCAAAUGAUAACCAAUGUCUGGCAAUAUUUGGUUUAUCUAGGGUAAACUUUUUAAGGUUGCUGCUUUGAGAUUCAUAUGUAUAUUUAAUUUGGAGGUGCUAUAACAUUAAGAUGUCAUCGGUCUACUGUGGUUGGAUAUGAUAAUUCUAUUUAUUACUUUUGUGCAGGAAUACAAUGAUACAUUAUUGAU